ACGCUCGACACCUACGGGGGCAGCAGUGGGGAAUAUUGCACAAUGGGGGAAACCCUGAUGCAGCGACGCCGCGUGAGCGAAGAAGUAUUUCGGUAUGUAAAGCUCUAUCAGCAGGAAAGAAGAAAGACGGUACCUGACUAAGAAGCCCCGGCUAACUACGUGCCUGCAGCCGUGGUAAUCUGAGCGGGCUGGCAAGGC
RNAcentral lists this ribosomal RNA (198 nucleotides) under uncultured bacterium. RNAcentral describes it as "partial 16S ribosomal RNA". It matches the Rfam family "Bacterial small subunit ribosomal RNA", at positions 328 to 539 of the family's 1533-position model. The record is from RNAcentral.